Molecule: RNA transcript, 1447 nt
Organism: Syngnathus acus (greater pipefish)
Lineage: Eukaryota; Metazoa; Chordata; Actinopteri; Syngnathiformes; Syngnathidae
Gene name: serine/arginine-rich splicing factor 2-like
Exons: 4
Source: RefSeq, a predicted model, not a curated record
AGGCGAAGGGGAAGAAGAAGGCACUCGAGGGCGGCAGCGAGUGAGCCAUUUUGUAUCGAACGUAGUUUUGAGAUGAAGGAUUAAAUGCUCUCUUAAGAAGAUUGCGUUCUUAAAAACAAACAAUCGAACAAAAAUAACAAACUUGGGCGGGAUCCAACGCCGAGUGAGAAGGCGACCACCAGUGAGUUAGGUGUGAUUAGUUUUGUUUUUCUCUGGAAGGCGAACAGCACUCGGCGGGCGGCAGCACCAUGAGUUUUUACGGAAGGCCUCCGCCUGACGUCGACGGCAUGACUUCCCUCAAAGUGGACAACCUGACGUACCGCACCACGCCGGAGACCCUGCGGCACGUCUUCGAGAAGUACGGCCGCGUCGGGGACGUGUACAUCCCGCGAGAUCGCUACUCCAAGGACAGCCGCGGCUUCGCCUUCGUCCGCUUCAACGACAAGCGUGACGCGGAGGACGCCAUGGACGCCAUGGACGGCGCGCUUUUGGACGGACGUGAGCUGCGCGUCCAGAUGGCCCGCUACGGCAGACCUCCGGAUUCGCAUUACAGCGGCGGGCGUCGUGGAAGCUGCGGCGGUGGCGGAGGAGGAGGAGGAGGAGGAGGCCCACCCCGAAGAUACGGAGGCUCCAGUCGCCGAAGCAGAAGCCCCCGACCAAGAAGACGCAGCAGGUCCCGCUCUCGGUCCCGCUCUCGCUCCCGAAGCCGAUCCCGUUACAGCCGAUCCCGCUCUAGAUCUUACUCCAGAUCCAAGUCCCGCUCUCCUCGGAACAAGAAGUCCAAUCCAAGGUCCCGCUCCAGGUCCCGCUCCAGGUCCGCCAGCCGCUCCGUCUCCCCUCCAAAAAGAGGCUCUGGGUCCAGAUCUAAAAGCCCGCCCAAGUCAGCCGCUGAGAAUGGAGGAGACUCACCCUAGUUUGCAGUAACCUGGGUGAAAGAUGGAUGAUGAUGUUCCAGGGCAAGAAGCCGCUUGUUGUGGAGAAGGUUGUCUUGCGGCUUCUGCGUCUUUUUAUUUUCUUUUCUUUUUUUUUUUCUCUGUGCUUUUCGUUAUGAAUAUAAACCUUUGCUCUCUAGUGAGCGGGCUGGUGUUGCAAGGGACGUUUUACUGUCCUGGGGUUUCUAAACAAGUGGCUCCACUCCAUGGACUCGGACACUCCCGUUCAAGGAGUCGGUGUGUUUUCAUGUCUAAAGCGAAACAUGGUUGUAGUCGGCUGUUAUCAUCAAAAACUUUUUUUAUUUUCAUAAUGUUGUCUUUGUGCACUAGGCGCAGUUGUGUGGCAGUUGUUGCUAAGGUGUUGCUGUGUGUUGCUGGUGCCCUCAGCGCUGCAGUAUUCUUCCCUCAGCGGUUUUUUACUUGCACCGACUGGAGCUGUGCAGCUGCAACCUUCUGGAAGCUCCGCAGAUCCAUGUUGGUGGUCUUUUAAUAAACUACUACUGUAUAACACGCAA